UACAGAGGGGGCAAGCGUUAUUCGGAAUUAUUGGGCGUAAAGAGCUCGUAGGCGGUCUGUUACGUCUGCUGUGAAAACCCAGGGCUUAACCCUGGGCUUGCAGUGGAUACGGGCAGACUAGAGGCAGGUAGGGGAGAAUGGAAUUCCCGGUGUAGCGGUGAAAUGCGCAGAUAUCGGGAGGAACACCGGUGGCGAAGGCGCCACUCUGGGCCGAAACUGACGCUGAGGAGCGAAAGCGUGGGUAGCAAACAGG
RNAcentral lists this ribosomal RNA (253 nucleotides) under uncultured bacterium. RNAcentral describes it as "partial 16S ribosomal RNA". It matches the Rfam family "Bacterial small subunit ribosomal RNA", at positions 524 to 776 of the family's 1533-position model. The record is from RNAcentral.